This 2682-nucleotide long non-coding RNA is filed under the name Xyrichtys novacula (pearly razorfish). Lineage: Eukaryota; Metazoa; Chordata; Actinopteri; Labriformes; Labridae. The record is from RNAcentral.
AGACGAGAUGUUUAAACUUUCCUGUUUUUGCAAAUAUUCACUCAUUAUGAAUUUGAUGACUGAGCGGGAAACAAGAGACUGGGAGAACUGGGAAUGCUGGGGGAGGGUUAGGGUUUGGAUAAGGGGAGGUUCACCAGGGGAGUAUGGUAGGUCAGCAGGUGGGUCUUUGAAUGAGACCCAGCAUUUCCUGUAGCUGAGAGAUCCCAUCGGUCUCCAGGGGUCAGUGGGAUGUUCUCUAUGAUACUGUCUGUGAGGCAUCUAGUGUUAAAUGACAUCUAUAAUCAGGAGUCUUCAUCCCUAAGUGGAUUUACACAGUUUGUUGACUGUCCUGGAUCUGCUGUACGCCAACGCCUAAGAACCUAACAAAACCACACUGGGCAGGUCGGACCAGAACCUGGUCCACCUGCAGUUUACCUAAGAUUCCAGACACAUGAAAAUGAUAAAGUCACAAAGUAAAUAAAGUCAAUAGUCCUUGAGCCGGACCAGAUGUCGGUACCACUUGGGUGGGCAAAACCUUACAUAUACUAAAUAGUUUUUAGGGUCAAUACAAGUAAAUUAAAAUAUGAUAGACUUUUCAUAGGGGUAGCUUUUUAUAUUUUUUCUCAUUUUGUUAUUUUCCUCAAUAGGCGAAUUUUUGUUAACUCCAAAAGCAACACAGAAAGUCAAAAGUACAUUAAAAGUCAUUCUCUUUUUGGGUCACACUGCUCUUUUCUAUAAAUGAAUCAAACCUGUGUCUAAUUAAAUGAGUUGAUGAAGUGGGUGUGGCCCAAUUUGAUGGUGGAGCAGUUCUUUCAGGUAUCAUAGCACUUUUUAAGUUUAGUUUUUUUUUUUUAGUUUUUAUAUGAUAGACCUUGGUAACUGGUAGCUUUAUUGUAGUUAUCACUCAUUAAAAUAAUAGAGUGCAGCUGUUCCAAAAACGAAAAAUCGCCUUCCUUCAAAAUUAGCUUUCUUUCAUUUGAACCUCUCAUUUAGGUGUGUUUGAACUAUUGGCUAGCCAUAGAGACUUGUAAUAACCCCCUAAGUAGUAUUUCAAGUAAUUUAUCUAAUACAGGUGUGUAUAUAUAAGCUUCAAUUAGUCAAUUGUCAGGUCUAAAUCAAAGUCUAAAUUAAGGAUAUUAUGGCGAGUUUUUCUCAGAUGAUUGUAAAGAGUGUAUACAUCAGUAGAUCUUAUUUUGUUGCUAAUGUCUUCUUGCCCUGCACCAGCCAGGAUGAUUGUAUAAUGAGUGCCUGCAUUUAAAAUAUGUCAGUGUCAUAUUAAGGUUGUUGUAGGAAUGUAUAGCAAUAAAUUAAUCACAACUAGAAUUUGCCCACCCAGGUGGUACCGAUAUGUGAAAUUUUGGUUCUUGGCUCAAGUACAAAGUAAAUGAACUAAAUAAAGUCAGAAGGUAAUGAAGUCACAAAGUUUAUAAAGCAAAUAAAUUGACAAAGUAAAUAAAUAAGUCAAUGUAAAUAAAGUCACAAAGUAAAUAAAGUCAUAAACUAAAUAAAGUCACAUAGUAAAUUAAGUAAAGUUAAUACAGUCAAAGUAAAUAAGUCAUAAAGUAAACAAAGUGAAUUAAGUCAAAAAAUAAAUAAAGUCACAAAGUAAAUAAAGUCAAUGUUAGUAAAGUAAAUAAGGUCAUAAAGUCAAUAAGUAAAUAAAGUCAUAAUGUCACUAAAGUAAAUUAAUUCAUAAAGUUAAUAAAGAAAAUAAAGUCAAUGUAAAUAAAGUAAAUAAAAUCACAAAGUAAAUAGUCAUAAUGUAAAAGUUAAUUAAGUCAUUAAUUAAAUAAAGUCAUAAAGUAAAUGAAGUUAUAAAGUUACAAAGUAAACUAGGGCCCCGUUGGGGCACUGGCGGGCCCGAGCCGUGUCGCGCCGCCCCCCCAACGCGCUGCCUCCCCGUCCCAUUCUCGUCCUCUGGCCAUCGCCCUCUCUGGUAACGCCCAUCACUGCAAAGACCCUUUUCCUUCAUCGGCGUUUGCUGUUCUUCCUGCCAGUGCGUGUUGCUUUCACUUACACUUGCCACAGCUAGCCUCGUGAGUGCCUAGCCUAUUGGAUAUCACUGUCACCUACACAGGACAGUCAUUACCUUUCUAUUAAUACUUUGUGUUUUAAUUUCACAUUAAUUUCCAUAUUGUAUAAACGACUGGAAAAAACUUGAGCCCCUGCCCCUGUAUAAUCAUGUGCAUGUCUCUGUUCUAGCUCCAAGGUGAAUCUUCACUGCUCAUGUUCUCCUCAGAAGCACUCACCUCACUCCCCUCAGGUUACUGUACACAUGCACCAACUGCCUGCUUCAGGUUUGGAUGGAGCUUCAUGGUUGUCUUUUGGAGAAAUGAGCAGUCAAGUUGUGUUUGAAAUUUGAUUUUUUUCAGGGGCAAAAGGAAGCCUCUGCAUUCUUGUCAAAUAUGUAAAUAGCAUGUUUUUGCAGGUGCUAAAAAACAGACUCUGAGUGUGUGUGCGUGUGUGUCUGUGUGUGUGUCUGUGUAUCCUGCAGUACUCUGAGAAGCAUAUUUCUGAGGUGAAUUUUGAAGAUUCAUCUGAGAGUUAGGAGGGCUGAUCAUUCCCUUACCCUUUAGAUGUCUGUCUAUGUCUGUUUUUGUGUGAUAAUGAAAGAAUCCCAACUCAAAAAGGCUCUGUUGAUGUUUUUUUUUUGUUCAUUCAUAUUCAAACCACUAUUUUAUAUCACUGCUAAUACGCCAAGAC